GACGAACGCUGGCGGCGUGCCUAAUACAUGCAAGUAGGACGCAGUUGCGAACGGGUGAGUAACGCGUAGGUAACUACCUAUUAGAGGGGGAUAACUAUUGGAACCGAUAGCUAAUACCGCAUACUAGUAGAUGGCCCUGCGUUGUAUUAGCUAGUAGGUUGGGUAAUGGCCUACCUAGGCAACGAUACAUAGUCGACCUGAGAGGGUGAUCGGCCACACUGGGAGUGAUGCACGGCACAGACUUCUACGGGAGGCAGCAGUAGGGAAUCUUCGGUAAUUGGGUGAAGCCUGACCGAGCAACGCCGCGUGAGUGAAGAAGGUUUUCGGAUCGUAAAGCUCUGUUGUUAAGGGAUCGGUACGUAACCAGAAAGGGACUGCUAACGACGUGCCAGCAGCCGCGGUAAUUC
RNAcentral lists this ribosomal RNA (407 nucleotides) under uncultured bacterium. RNAcentral's name for it is "partial 16S ribosomal RNA". It matches the Rfam family "Bacterial small subunit ribosomal RNA", at positions 28 to 526 of the family's 1533-position model. The record is from RNAcentral.